GACAGAGGGUGCGAACGUUGUUCGGAAUUACUGGGCGUAAAGCGCGUGUAGGCGGCAACGCAAGUCGGGCGUGAAAUCCCACGGCUCAACCGUGGAAGUGCACUCGAAACUGCGUAGCUAGAGUCCUGGAGAGGAAGGUGGAAUGCUUGGUGUAGAGGUGAAAUUCGUAGAUAUUCGGAGGAACACCAGUGGCGAAGGCGGCUCACUGGUCCGGUACUGACGCUGAGGUGCGAAAGCGUGGGGAGCAAACAGG
RNAcentral lists this ribosomal RNA (253 nucleotides) under uncultured bacterium. Its description in RNAcentral is "partial 16S ribosomal RNA". It matches the Rfam family "Bacterial small subunit ribosomal RNA", at positions 524 to 776 of the family's 1533-position model. The record is from RNAcentral.